This is a long non-coding RNA of Acinonyx jubatus (cheetah), 2051 nucleotides long. RefSeq lists it as uncharacterized. The transcript is spliced from 6 exons. Lineage: Eukaryota; Metazoa; Chordata; Mammalia; Carnivora; Felidae. The record is from RefSeq and is a predicted model, not a curated record.
GUCGACCGGCUCGGUCCGCGGGCGUGGUUGGCUCUGGCCCCGGCGGCGGCGGCAGGGCCUCCCGGAGCCCCGGCCCCUCCCGCCGGCCAGGCCCCCGGGCCGCCGCCCCGGACACCGAGGGAACGCGGAGGAGGAAGGGGGAGCCAGGGGACUGACCGGCGACAUGAGCCACCUCAGCCCAGGCUCGGCCGACCCGCGCCCCCCGCUCCCUCUGGGGCCGGCUGGGCUCCCCGCCCCUCACUCACCCCCCCGGUCCGGCGCCUCCUCCACCUCCUCCUCCACCUCCUCCCUCUUCUCGGCCGUGGCUCCUGCUCCGGCUCUGCGCGGCGACGGCGGCAGCGGCGGCAGCGGCGGCAGCGGCCUCGAGAGCGGCGGCGGCGGCGGCGGCGGCGGCGGCGCCUCCAGAACGCGCACGCACGCAGCACGUUGGCCCCGCCCCCAGUUCCACCCCGCCCCUCCGAGUCGCCGUCAGCUAGACUUUGGCCCCGCCUUCCCCACGGCUUUCCGGAGUCCGCUUAAAGGAGCCGCGCAGAGGAGAGUGCACAGGUUGCUCGGGCGGUAAAAGAAGGCAGGUGCAUGUCCUGAAAUGCAUGAAGUACAUCCUAGUGGAGAGUGCACACACAGAAGGAAGCAGCUACUCAGCCAUGCGGCACUGUAACUCCUAGGAAGAAUCAAAGAUUUCUGCAGCAAGGAAAUUGGAUACAGAUGAGCACCAGGGAGGACACUGCUGGCCACUGAAGGGAAAGCCCAAUGUAGGCAGGAGGCCAGAAUGCGCCAACGAAGGAAGACUGAACACCAGAACACAGAAAGUUCAGAACACUGAACACAGAAAGACUAAAGCCUGGGCUUUCAGGGGAUACAAUGACACAUAAAGCACAGACAGUGAGACCUGAGAGGAAGAAGAUAAAAGGAAGGCUGUGGAACCAGUGUGUUAAGAAAUCUCAUAGCUGACAAUUUGCUAGCAAAGAACAGGAUGCCUACAAAAUUCGUUAAGUGUCAGAUUUCACAGCUUCCUCUGCUCUGCCUAAAAAGGAAAACUCACAUCUUCAAGCUGUUACAAUAAAACUAUUGGCAGUAUGUAAAGUGAGAACAGAGCCUUGCCUUAAUUUAUUGCACCAUGUAGAUUUAUUACACAUCAGGGUAAUAAUAACAACACCAUGACUCGCCGCCUGAUAAUCUCCUGUGCUCCAGUAGGAGUGCGGGGGAGGGAGCCCGCGGGCCCUGUAGACUCCCUGUAUGGUGCUAAGCGAUCUGGGCACGCUCCUGGCCCAGUGCCACCAGAUGAUGUGGUACUACUGGACCGCGUGGCGUCAAGAUGUGUUGCAGAGCUGGUGAGGAGAUGUAGCCUUUAGACAGAAAACACUGGAGACCAUUGGCCAAGCCUAUAAGUAGAGUGUGUCCCCAGUUGCUCACUGCCAGGGGAGUAGGUAGGCAUCCCAGCUACCUUCUUAUCAGAGGCUCCUCUACCUGAAACCUGAUGAGAUCACAGGUUAAGAACCUCCACGGGGCAUUUCACCUGCCUUUAGAGGGCACCACACUUAGAAUCUGGGACCUUCCAAGUUAAAUGUAUGUUCAGUGUCUGAGGAACAAGUUGACCAAAUUCAGGGUUAAAGACAAUCACGCCUCAGGCCACGGGUCUCUCCUUCAGAGUGCUGGCCUCGCUUCUGGGCUGCUUCUCUUGUCUUUUCAUGACAUCUGAGUCCUGGGGGUGCCCAAUCCGUCUUGGCUGCUUCCAGGGAAACUGCUCCCAGGCACUCAGACACUCAGCCUGCCCACGGUGACAGUGACAUCCUCACAGAGGACAGAGUUCAUCAGAGGUGCCCCCCUGCUGCUGUGCUUGCUCUGGAAGCCUCUCAUUAGGGUUUCUAAUUUUUAAGAUAAUGGGAACUUAAUGGGGAUUAUUUUGAUUUUCUCUCGCCAGCCAAUGUUUUAGCCCUGCUGCCCCCAGCUGCACUGCCUGAACAAAUUGCAUUCUGAGCAAGCAAAAGCUGUGGCCCAGGAGACUGCUGACAUGACCUCAGAAACACACAGUCCAAUCCUAGUGCCUGAUU